RNAcentral lists this ribosomal RNA (899 nucleotides) under uncultured Cortinarius. RNAcentral's name for it is "eukaryotic LSU rRNA". The record is from RNAcentral. Lineage: Eukaryota; Fungi; Basidiomycota; Agaricomycetes; Agaricales; Cortinariaceae.
GGAUCAUUAUUGAAAUAAACCUGAUGGGUUGUUGCUGGUUCUCUAGGGAGCAUGUGCACACCUUGUCAUCUUUAUAUCUCCACCUGUGCACCUUUUGUAGACCUUACAGGUCUAUGUUGCCUUUUCAUUUACACCAAUGUAUGUUAAUAGAAUGUUGUGACUAUAAAAUCUAUACAACUUUCAGCAACGGAUCUCUUGGCUCUCGCAUCGAUGAAGAACGCAGCGAAAUGCGAUAAGUAAUGUGAAUUGCAGAAUUCAGUGAAUCAUCGAAUCUUUGAACGCACCUUGCGCUCCUUGGUAUUCCGAGGAGCAUGCCUGUUUGAGUGUCAUUAAUAUAUAUAUCAACCCUCUUUUGUUGAGUGGUUUGGAUGUGAGGAUUUGCUGGAUUCUUAAAAGGGUUCCAGCUUCCUUGAAAUGCAUUAGCAGAACGGACCUGUUCAUUGGUGUGAUAACUAUCAGCACUAUUGAAUGUAAGGGUUAGUUCAGCUUUCUAACAGUCCUUGGACAAUUAAUCAUUUAUGUGACCUCAAAUCAGGUAGGACUACCCGCUGAACUUAAGCAUAUCAAUAAGCGGAGGAAAAGAAACUAACAAGGAUUCCCCUAGUAACUGCGAGUGAAGCGGGAAAAGCUCAAAUUUARAAUCUGGCAGUCUUUUGGCUGUCCGAGUUGUAAUCUAGAGAAGUGUUAUCCGCGCUGGACCGUGUACAAGUCUCCUGGAAUGGAGCAUCAUAGAGGGUGAGAAUCCCGUCUUUGACAUGGACUGCCAGGGCUUUGUGAUGCGCUCUCAAAGAGUCGAGUUGUUUGGGAAUGCAGCUCAAAAUGGGUGGUAAAUUCCAUCUAAAGCUAAAUAUUGGCGAGAGACCGAUAGCGAACAAGUACCGUGAGGGAAAGAUGAAAAG